This 431-nucleotide ribosomal RNA is filed under the name uncultured bacterium. RNAcentral's name for it is "partial 16S ribosomal RNA". It matches the Rfam family "Bacterial small subunit ribosomal RNA", at positions 29 to 505 of the family's 1533-position model. The record is from RNAcentral.
AGCGAACGCUGGCGGCAGGCCUAACACAUGCAAGUCGAACGAACUCUUCGGAGUUAGUGGCGGACGGGUGAGUAACACGUGGGAACGUGCCUUUUGGUUCGGAAUAACUCAGGGAAACUUGUGCUAAUACCGAAUGUGCCCUUCGGGGGAAAGAUUUAUCGCCAUUAGAGCGGCCCGCGUCUGAUUAGCUAGUUGGUGAGGUAACGGCUCACCAAGGCGACGAUCAGUAGCUGGUCUGAGAGGAUGACCAGCCACACUGGGACUGAGACACGGCCCAGACUCCUACGGGAGGCAGCAGUGGGGAAUCUUGCGCAAUGGGCGAAAGCCUGACGCAGCCAUGCCGCGUGAAUGAUGAAGGUCUUAGGAUUGUAAAAUUCUUUCACCGGGGACGAUAAUGACGGUACCCGGAGAAGAAGCCCCGGCUAACUUCG